AUACGUAGGGGGCGAGCGUUGUCCGGAAUGAUUGGGCGUAAAGGGCGCGUAGGCGGCCGCUUAAGUCUGGAGUGAAAGCCCUGUUUUCAAGAUGGGAAUUGCUUUGGAUACUGGGGGGCUUGAGUGCAGGAGAGGUUAUCGGAAUUCCCGGUGUAGCGGUGAAAUGCGUAGAGAUCGGGAGGAACACCAGUGGCGAAGGCGGGUAACUGGACUGCAACUGACGCUGAGGCGCGAAAGUGUGGGGAGCAAACAGGAUUAGAUACCCUGGUAGUCCACACUGUAAACGAUGAAUGCUAGGUGUAAGAGGUAUCGACCCCUUUUGUGCCGGAGUCAACACAAUAAGCAUUCCGCCUGGGAGUACGGCCGCAAGGUUGAAACUCAAAUGAAUUGACGGGG
This 396-nucleotide ribosomal RNA is filed under the name uncultured bacterium. RNAcentral describes it as "partial 16S ribosomal RNA". It matches the Rfam family "Bacterial small subunit ribosomal RNA", at positions 523 to 918 of the family's 1533-position model. The record is from RNAcentral.